GAACGCUGAAGAGAGGAGCUUGCUCUUCUUGGAUGAGUUGCGAACGGGUGAGUAACGCGUAGGUAACCUGCCUUGUAGCGGGGGAUAACUAUUGGAAACGAUAGCUAAUACCGCAUAACAAUGGAUGACACAUGUCAUUUAUUUGAAAGGGGCAAUUGCUCCACUACAAGAUGGACCUGCGUUGUAUUAGCUAGUAGGUGAGGUAAUGGCUCACCUAGGCGACGAUACAUAGCCGACCUGAGAGGGUGAUCGGCCACACUGGGACUGAGACACGGCCCAGACUCCUACGGGAGGCAGCAGUAGGGAAUCUUCGGCAAUGGGGGCAACCCUGACCGAGCAACGCCGCGUGAGUGAAGAAGGUUUUCGGAUCGUAAAGCUCUGUUGUAAGUCAAGAACGGGUGUGAGAGUGGAAAGUUCACACUGUGACGGUAGCUUACCAGAAAGGGACGGCUAACUACGUGCCAGCAGCCGCGGUAAUACGUAGGUCCCGAGCGUUGUCCGGAUUUAUUGGGCGUAAAGCGAGCGCAGGCGGUUUGAUAAGUCUGAAGUUAAAGGCUGUGGCUCAACCAUAGUUCGCUUUGGAAACUGUCAAACUUGAGUGCAGAAGGGGAGAGUGGAAUUCCAUGUGUAGCGGUGAAAUGCGUAGAUAUAUGGAGGAACACCGGUGGCGAAAGCGGCUCUCUGGUCUGUAACUGACGCUGAGGCUCGAAAGCGUGGGGAGCGAACAGGAUUAGAUACCCUGGUAGUCCACGCCGUAAACGAUGAGUGCUAGGUGUUGGAUCCUUUCCGGGAUUCAGUGCCGCAGCUAACGCAUUAAGCACUCCGCCUGGGGAGUACGACCGCAAGGUUGAAACUCAAAGGAAUUGACGGGGGCCCGCACAAGCGGUGGAGCAUGUGGUUUAAUUCGAAGCAACGCGAAGAACCUUACCAGGUCUUGACAUCCCGAUGCUAUUUCUAGAGAUAGAAAGUUACUUCGGUACAUCGGUGACAGGUGGUGCAUGGUUGUCGUCAGCUCGUGUCGUGAGAUGUUGGGUUAAGUCCCGCAACGAGCGCAACCCCUAUUGUUAGUUGCCAUCAUUCAGUUGGGCACUCUAGCGAGACUGCCGGUAAUAAACCGGAGGAAGGUGGGGAUGACGUCAAAUCAUCAUGCCCCUUAUGACCUGGGCUACACACGUGCUACAAUGGUUGGUACAACGAGUUGCGAGUCGGUGACGGCGAGCUAAUCUCUUAAAGCCAAUCUCAGUUCGGAUUGUAGGCUGCAACUCGCCUACAUGAAGUCGGAAUCGCUAGUAAUCGCGGAUCAGCACGCCGCGGUGAAUACGUUCCCGGGCCUUGUACACACCGCCCGUCACACCACGAGAGUUUGUAACACCCGAAGUCGGUGAGGUAACCUUUUGGAGCCAGCCGCCUAAGG
This 1414-nucleotide ribosomal RNA is filed under the name Streptococcus thermophilus. Its description in RNAcentral is "bacterial SSU rRNA". It matches the Rfam family "Bacterial small subunit ribosomal RNA". Lineage: Bacteria; Bacillati; Bacillota; Bacilli; Lactobacillales; Streptococcaceae. The record is from RNAcentral.